This 63-nucleotide transfer RNA is filed under the name Cryptocephalus ramburii. RNAcentral describes it as "tRNA-Arg". The record is from RNAcentral. Lineage: Eukaryota; Metazoa; Arthropoda; Insecta; Coleoptera; Chrysomelidae.
AAAUAAGAAGCAAUUAAUUGCAGCUAGUUUCGACCUAGAAGUUUGACUUUCAGUCCUUAUUUA